GAGUAAUGUUCCGUUUUGGUUGCUUGCACUAUUCAUUAGCUUGCGCGUCGCCCGCGGUGCAGCCACUUACAAUGGCUGCAGAGCUGUGUUGGCGGCUAUGCUAUUGACAGAAGCAUAUGGAUUUCAUUUCCUAUUCAUCACGCCGACCGCACGGAAAAAGAUCCACGAGAGCGCGGCUUUGUGCGGCGCUGAGACAAAGUGCCGUUUGGAGGAGAGAAAGUAAGACAGAAUGAAAGGGGGGAAACAAUCAGAGGGUGGAUGUGCCUCUAAGUGUGAGUGCUUGCUUCAGAUUGCUAUCCUGUACUAUCUAUUUUACAGAAAGAAGGAGGGAGAGGGGUUGUUUUAAAGACAGCCAUUUCGAGAUGCCAUCAUCACUCAAGCUAGCCAAGGUCCCGGGCAGGAGCUGUUGCCAUAUAUCAAGGUAUUCUUGAUCAAUAUUGAUUGAUCGGUGCAACUUCAGGGAAUAUCAGGACCCAUCUCUUCCCCUCACACCGUUCUGUUUGUGCAAUUAAUACGGGAGGAGGAGCUGUAAGUCAGCCAUAACUUUUUAACCUUGCGAAACGCCACGAUAAAUCACAAACCUGCGCCGUCAGAUGAACCGAGCUGGCAGGUUGGAGGAGUCCUGGGAACAAAGUACCAACGGCAUGUUCCCACAGACGGUUCAAAGGCUGUGUUUGCUUUAAAGUGACGGCCAGUGUCCGCGUGGGUCACCUGAUACCCUCCUCACAUCCGUUUGUUUACCUCCUUUGUUCAAAGAAACGCAGACAGAUAUGUUUCUGCUGGGAUCUGGUGCGUGACAGAAUGCGAAGGAGGUUUUGUUUGGUUUGAGGUUUUUGGCGAAGAUCUUGAUCUUUCUCCAGUUUGACCAAAAGCUCAUUGGAGUUCAUCUUGACGUGUAAUAACUGUUAUUUUCUAAGUAGGCCUCAUACUUUUCUAGGUUUGCCAUCUUGCCAAUUAUGUUGGAAAUGAUAUCAACCUUUCAGUGUUCUUAUUUUGCAAUUCGCCAACAAACAUCCAAACCACAUCCCCGAGCAAACAGACCUGCCAGUUUGUCACCAAUCUCGACAAAUUUGAUCUGGACGUCCAAUAAUGUCACUUUUCCGCUUCAGUCCAGGCUAAAAAGGAUGAAAAGAUGAAUCCUUGUGGCGUUUCUAUACAUGCUAGCCCAGGCGAUGGAUCCCAAUGACCUUUGUGAUCCCUCGCUCUUCCUCCAGUGGCAACGUGAGGUCAGCGUUUUUGGUUUUGAAGGGACUUUCGUAGGCUGGUUAUUGCCGCCACAUCUGAGCCUCCCCACCUCAGAUAUUGCUUUUGUAAUCCCAGACUUUUCAUCUUUUGUUUAACCAUCCAUCCAUCAAUCCAUCUAUCUAUCCGUUCAUAAUCUACACCACUUAUCCUGUUAGGGGUUGCAGAAGAGGCUGGAGGCAGCGUUUAACUCAACAAUCCUGUCUUUUGGAUAGACAGAGGUAGGAAGUCUGGGUAACCCGAAGGAAAAUAUGCAUGCAAACUCUGCAUAGCAAGAUCGUGAUUCAGCCGGACACAUCUAUCAGUGAGGAAACAAACUCUAACCAAAGAAAAGAAGAAGAAAAGGAUUUUCAGCUGUAACUUUUUAUGCUGUGGUAAUGAGUAAAAUUUAAUACAUGCUUUAAAAGUUCCUGUGAGAAGUUUUUGGAUGUUUAUGAAACAGACCUGAAUCCUCAAUGAUGCCUUUUAGGUGUCAGUGGAGCUGUUUUACAAUUUCCACAUUCGAUGUUCGCAGAAAAUGAGAUGUUAGACUGUCAAAAGUCAGCAGGAUGAGUUUUUUAACGCAGCGUUAUUGAUCUCCACUGUGCUGUUUCGAACUUGAGGUUGAUUUUAUGAUGUUAUGUUUCGCAUUAAGGGUGUUUGUUUCUCAGCGCUGGAGUUGAGAUUUUCUUAUUCACCUUCCCCUGGAGGCAGGACUGUAAUUACCUGUGAUGUUUGUGUGGAUUUAAUGCAAAACACAUCGGGCAGAGGGAAAUCGAAUGUGAACACGUCCUGUCCGACACCAUUUAAACAACACCGGCCCGGCUGCUGAAUCAGCCCCGUUUUAUAGUCAUUACUUCUGUUUCCAUUUCAACAUGAAUCCAUCACAUACAAACACUCUGAAUGCUGCCAAAAAACACACACUGCCCUCACCAGGAUCUGUAAAUUAUUGGUGUUGUCCUUUCUAUAGGGUGUCCUCUUUUACCCGGACAUGUCCUUCUUUAGGGGGCUGUCCGGCCUGUCCGGGGAGAGUUUAUAAAAUCCUUCAAAUAUCAAGGGUUUUGUAUGGAAGUAUGGAAUUUGUGUAGCAUGGACUAACUGAGUUACCCAGGAUUUCCACCGCAUCCGAAACGGCUCCAAUCCGGAAUGGCAGCGAUUUUCGCCUUACCCCAAUUCCUACCGGAUCCAUUUGUGAGGCAGAUUUUGUGGCGGAUUACGGACAGCAGGAAUCGCGAGAACUCACAACGUGUAAUCAUACGAGAACAAGUUGUCUUUAGCCACAUAGGCUAACCAUAUAAGCCGUAGAUUGUGUCCUUCCAGAAGAGGAAAUCUACUUAUAUUUUUAUAAAAUUGGCAUCUCCUCAUCCAUGGUGUCAUCGGGAUGAAAUGUCGCCUGAAAAUCGGAGUGUUUUAUUUUAAAAAGAAAUUUUAUUUUGUGUCUGUGCCCGACUUCCUUUCCAGCAGGAGUUAAUCUGUGCUGAAUUUAUCCGGCAUGCUUCGGCAUCUGGAAAAAAAUAGAACUCUGACGAUUGGCUGCGGAGUCUGACGAUCCGCAGAGGAACGGAAAGAAGACGGUGGAAAUUGACACGUUAACUUGAAUGGUUACGAUCGGCAGAUAUAGCCUUUUCGUAGCCGUUCCGGAUGCAGUGGAAAUUAGAGGUUAGAAGCACGUGAAAAAAAAAAACACUCAAAAUUCAGCGCAUGACUCCGCCCUGCAUAGUAGUGUCCCUUUUUUGGGGGAUUCAGGAUAUGGUCACCCUACUUUCUCUAGCCUCGGGAUGCCAGCCAGUAAGGGGUUGCAGUAAACAGUGCGCAAAAAUAAUCACACUUGUUUUGGGUCUUUUUUUUUAUUGCAGAGAUGCUAAAAAUUUAGUUUUUACUCCUCCUCUGACAAAAUUAUUUACCUCAUACUGAUUGAGAAGUCCGCUGAUCGUCAAAUUUGUUAGUAAAGUCGUAUUUCAUUCGUCAAACGACUGAAGAAAUAUUCAAACUUCUUUUUCGACAUAAUGAUUCCUUCUUGUUUGUGUUGCUUAAACAUUUUAGGUCAGUGAAUGCUCUCCAUUCUUGAUCAAGUUUCUCACUUUGGCACAUUUAAUAUGACAUCUGUUCAACUAACUGAAUGCAAAUGUUGUGGGCUGUCUGGAGCGCUUCAUCCGGCGCCGGCUAAUCAUGUCUUACAUCCAUGCCAGCUAUGGGCGAGCAUGAGGAGAGCGAGGAUGUGUGCCGUGGUAAUAAAUAAUCCAUGAAUGUAGUUGAGCUGACACUCAGCCAGUAAAAAAAUAAGUGAAAUAAUGUUUUGGCUUAAAGAGUGUUGGACUAAAUCAUGUAACAUUUGUUAACACUUUUUAUAAGCCAUAUUUUUACACAGCCUCAUUCCCUUCUCAUCUCAUUAGUUUGGCAUCAUAAGGUAAAUGUCACUGUGGAUUUAUAUUUUAAUACUUUCAGCCUUUAGUAAAUAUUACAAUGGCUUAUAAAAAGGGAAUAUUUCAUAUUUUAUAUGUGGCUUGAAAACAGCUUUUUAUCUCCUUCAUAUUCUAUUUAUCAGUGAAUCCAGGCAAACUGGAGGACAGGAUUUAAACCUUUUUAGACCUUAAACUUUGAGAGUUAUCAAGGGAAAAAUAUGUUAUUAUUGGAUAAACAGUUCAAAUGUUUACCCUUAUCUAAUCUAAUCCUCCUUUCUUGGAUCUAAUUCACUUACGCAGCACCUUGCAGGAAGCUUUCCGAAUCAAAUUUCGCCCAAACCCUGAAGUUUUACCAGAGUGCUUUAUAUUGACUUACCCACUGUGCAGAGAAACCAGCUCCAUUAAUAUUGAGGGGGGAGUUCUCGCACCUUCAUCUGGAGAGUUCAAGUCCAGGUACAACACAGACAGAGAUAAAUAAUGCAGAUAACUUUGAGAUUUUAAAGCUGCAGGUGAAUAUUUCAAAGCAAAAUAGUUCAUACCAGCAUACUUAUUCAUACACUUAUUCAUAUAUUCAAUCUAGCUACGAUGAACUAUAAAGGUGUGUAAACUUUAAAUUCUUAUAUCACUUAUUUUCUAAGAGAUAAUGAGCCGGUACUGGUUUUUACAGUGUGUUUGUGCUUAUUUAUAUAACUCAUCACAUUAAAUUUGCUCACUCACAGAAGUCUAUGUCUUAGGCCUCUGAAUAUCUAAAACUGGUGUUUUGCAUCUAGAAAUAAAUGUUUGUAAUUAUAUAUAAUCUGAACACUUUUUUUUUUAACAACAAAAUGUACUUUUACUUUUAUUUUUAAUACUUAAAGCUCCUAUGAGGAACUUUUAACAGAAAAAAAACUAAUCCUACCAACUUUUGGAGGACUAAUUUAUCAUUUAUUGAGUAUUUAAUACAAAAAAAAGGACAGGACUGUUUCUUACACCUACUCUAAUAUACAAAUAUCAAUUCUCUCACGGAUGGUUUUGUUUGUUUUAGGAGGUCAUGAAAACGCAUCCUUUAAAAUUUGGUCCAUUUAACAACAUCAAAAGGAAAAUUAAAACCACAGUACAUGUGAUACUUAAGUACUGUAAGACUCCCAUUUAAAGCACUUUUAAGAAGUUUUUUAGCAGUAAUUCAAUAAAGUAAAAUCCAUGUUUUUGCCUUCUAAUGAUAAACACUGUGAGAGGGUAGGUCCAAGUUUUCACAUAUUCCAACUUAAAUAUUCAUAAUGAAUGAUAAAGUUGGAUAAGUUUUGUUGUCAAAUAAGCAAAGACUGCUUUGUCCACAGGGGGCGCCAAAUUUGACACAAGCCAAAAGUUCCUCACAGGAGCUUUAAAUAACAACUUUCACCAAUACCAAAGUCAUUUUCUGGAGCGAUAUUUGUACUUUUACUCAAGGAUGGCUUCAAGGUAGAGACGUUCCAAUACCAAUUUUUCCUCCUGACACCGAUUCCGAUACCUGUGCUGUGGGUAUCAGCCGAUACCGAGUACCGAUCCAAUACCAGUACGUUAUAUAUAAAGAAAAACCAUACCAUAUCAAAUCAUACCAGACCUGCAUGGCUGUGAUAUGAUUGUGGUAAGGUCUUUGUAAAACAGCAAAUUUUAGCCAUUUAAUUUUAAAUAGAACAGUACAAAAAAAACUGCAAAUGCAAUUGAACUCAAUGAAGUAAAAAGUGCAGCCACAGUAUUUUUAAAUAAAAAGCUAACUUGUAAAUAAACUCCAGUACUUGCUUGUACUGUUGCCAGCAUUUUCUGCAGUAUCGGAGCAACUUCCAAUACUGGUAUCGGAAUCGGAACAACUCUACUUCAACGUACUUCUUACACCUUUCUAUUGCCGAGCUGAACAGGUACUUGUUAAUUCAUUGACAUGAUAUGAACAGUAUGCUUGUUGUGUGUGUGUUUCUGUCUUUUUAAAUCAGAUGCCAAUCCCACCCCUGUACAGUAAAAUUAAAGUGUCACUUUCUGGAGAUGGGUGAAUACGACCAUCCCAUCCAGGGAGCCUCAUCGUGUCGGAUGAGCCUGGAUAUCCUCCAAAGGAAGAUGCCCAGAAGGCAGCCUGAUCAGAUCCUAAACUGGCUCUAACUGCAGAUCUCCACCAAAGCCUCCCCUUCCAGGUCUGAACCCAGCCACCCUCCUUUCAGGUUCUUGUAUCUGCUGCCUCGCGCCUUUCAGCCUGAGAUUCGAGUCACAUUUUCCCUUUUGUAACUCGACAAAGAAACGAAUCUUCACUCUGUGAUUGAAUAUGCAGUGAUGGUGUUAUUUUCUCUCCCUUUUGUACCCUGUUAGUAUAUUGUAUUCAGUCUUACAUUACUUUUAAACGGCUACCCCUUUCAACCAAAUCAUCUUGACAUCACAUUUAGGUCUUAUUUGUAAAGAAAGCUGAUGAAACCUUUUCACUCCUCACUUUAAAAGUAGGACGAAAAAUGCGUCAAUCAGACUCUCGAAUCUCAUUUCUCUGUGAUGUAUGAAUGAUGCAUCGCAUACAGUACAGUUCCCUCCUUUCCAUAGAAAAAUUGGCAUGUAGAAAAGGAGAGUGAGCUCGGCUUAGUAUUAUCUAUUAAUGUGCUGCAGACAGGAAUAACUUCAAAGAGAGAAUUUGGAUGACAAUACUUCUGAGCGCGCCAAAAAAAAGGUCGAUUUCACAACUUCUUUUUUGAGCGUAUUUUUUAAAAGGCAAAACUUUUAUUCCAACACGCAGCUUAUCGGUUAUUUUUUAACUGUACUUAUCUAUUAGGGAAUGUAUUUAAAGUAAGAUAUAGAGUGCCCAGCAUGAGUCAGUACACCCCCUAUUAAAAGCAAUGUAUUACUCAAUAUCUAGAUGAGUUAAAGUACAAUUUCCAAAGUUUUGACAAAGCAGAGUUUAACACAACAUUUGAUUUACCAUAAGAUAAAAAUAAGAGUGAUACGGUGCCUAAAAUUUAGCUUUGCUCCUAGAACUUUUAUUAGGAUGUACUCAUUUUUGCAUCCUGAUUUUAAAUUGAAAUAAAUUCUUUUUUUAUGCGACUUUAAAAAUCUUGUUUGCAAUCAAUGACCUACAUUUGGAGGAAUAUUUUGUUGUAUAGUCUGACGUAGCAAAUGUUGAUUUUAAAAGGAAACUUUUUCUGACAACUCUGAAGGGGUAUACUCAUUUAUGCUGAGCACUGUAACUGUUUAGAUUUUAAUGUCAUGAAGAAAAGUAAAAAAAAUCUGCGAAACUACAUUUGCGCCGCUUUACCCUCACAAAGCAUGAUGGGAUUUCUUGCAGUGCAAAAAAAUUUUUAUUUUAAUUUUCUCGCCUUUUAUGUCAAAAUCAUGCAUUUACAGCAAACUGUGGUUUAGAACUACGUCACAUGAGUUUUAUGUCAUGUGGCGUACCACAGGGGUCUGUCCUGGGUCCCAAUACUUUUCUCCUUUUACCUGCCAAACGUAUCUUAUAAGCAAAUAACAUUCAACUCUACUUCUACUUUAAACUCUCCAAAAUCAGGAAGGUAUCGAAGCUCCUUGACUGCAUUAACUCAGUUCAACACUGGUGAAUUUGAAGUAAAAAGAACUUUUUAAGGUUAUUUCCAUUACUUCACAGAACACUGAAUCCCUUUCCACAGCCGUUUACUCCAGCCUCCGUAUAUAUCUGAUAAAUAUACGCUGUUUUACAUUCAUGUGGAAAAACUCAUCUGAGAAUCAUCAAUAAACUGAAAUCCUCGGUGUCA
This 7336-nucleotide long non-coding RNA is filed under the name Xyrichtys novacula (pearly razorfish). The record is from RNAcentral. Lineage: Eukaryota; Metazoa; Chordata; Actinopteri; Labriformes; Labridae.